Molecule: long non-coding RNA, 585 nt
Organism: Leptinotarsa decemlineata (Colorado potato beetle)
Lineage: Eukaryota; Metazoa; Arthropoda; Insecta; Coleoptera; Chrysomelidae
Source: RefSeq, a predicted model, not a curated record
UUAUGUUAUCGAUAGAAAAUUUGAAAGAUGGAGCAAUAUUUGAGUUUGAAAGGUUCUGAGGUCACGAAAUAUAGAAAUAAAUGUAGACUUUAUUUUGCAAUGUGAUAAAAUAUAUCGUGUUUUUAGUUGAAAAGUACCAAAGAUACUGCAUUUUUAUUGCACGAGCAAAAUUAGUACAAGUACGCAAAAGAAAUAUGUAAGAAUGUUAACUAAUGGCAAACAUCAAGUUCACCCCUCAACAAAUAGCAUCAUUCAGCGACAGGAUAAGCAAUGUUUUAGAACAUCCUUUAUGCAGAACAAUAUAUGAGCAAUAUUUAAAAAGACUAUGUGGUCCUGGUGAGAAUUAUGCAAUGAUGUUAUGGAUAAAAUCGGGUGAAACCAAUAUUGAUGAGAAUACACUAUUAAAUAUUAUUGAAGAUAUAGACGAAUUCAAUCAACAAGCCCUGGAAGAAAUAUCAGACCAUUCACUUAAAAUUGCUUACAUCAAACGAGAAUGUUGUAGAAUCUUGCAAACAUCACAUCAACCAUUCAUAGAUUAUUUAAACCGUUAUCAUUAAUUAUUUAUUAAAUACAAUAUUUCAUUAA